UGGGGAAUAUUGGGCAAUGGGCGCAAGCCUGACCCAGCAACGCCGCGUGAAGGAAGAAGGCUUUCGGGUUGUAAAACUUCUUUUCUCAGGGACGAAGCAAGUGACGGUACCUGAGGAAUAAGCCACGGCUAACUACGUGCC
This 141-nucleotide ribosomal RNA is filed under the name uncultured bacterium. RNAcentral describes it as "partial 16S ribosomal RNA". It matches the Rfam family "Bacterial small subunit ribosomal RNA", at positions 355 to 509 of the family's 1533-position model. The record is from RNAcentral.